RNAcentral lists this ribosomal RNA (1013 nucleotides) under uncultured prokaryote. RNAcentral describes it as "bacterial SSU rRNA". It matches the Rfam family "Bacterial small subunit ribosomal RNA", at positions 49 to 1051 of the family's 1533-position model. The record is from RNAcentral.
GGCUAUCUGCAGUCGAGCGAAUGAUGAGGAGCUUGCUCCUCUGAUUUAGCGGCGGACGGGUGAGUAACACGUGGGUAAUCUGCCUGUAAGACGGGGAUAACUCCGGGAAACCGGGGCUAAUACCGGAUAACAAGAGAAGAAGCAUUUCUUCUUUUUGAAAGUCGGCAUCUCGCUGACACUUACAGAUGAGCCCGCGGCGCAUUAGCUAGUUGGUGAGGUAACGGCUCACCAAGGCGACGAUGCGUAGCCGACCUGAGAGGGUGAUCGGCCACACUGGGACUGAGACACGGCCCAGACUCCUACGGGAGGCAGCAGUAGGGAAUCUUCGGCAAUGGGCGAAAGCCUGACCGAGCAACGCCGCGUGAGCGAUGAAGGCCUUCGGGUCGUAAAGCUCUGUUGUUAGAGAAGAACAAGUACGAGAGUAACUGCUCGUACCUUGACGGUACCUAACCAGAAAGCCACGGCUAACUACGUGCCAGCAGCCGCGGUAAUACGUAGGUGGCAAGCGUUAUCCGGAAUUAUUGGGCGUAAAGCGCGCGCAGGCGGUCUCUUAAGUCUGAUGUGAAAGCCCACGGCUCAACCGUGGAGGGUCAUUGGAAACUGGGAGACUUGAGUGCAGGAGAGAAAAGUGGAAUUCCACGUGUAGCGGUGAAAUGCGUAGAGAUGUGGAGGAACACCAGUGGCGAAGGCGGCUUUUUGGCCUGUAACUGACGCUGAGGCGCGAAAGCGUGGGGAGCAAACAGGAUUAGAUACCCUGGUAGUCCACGCCGUAAACGAUGAGUGCUAGGUGUUGGGGGGUUCCACCCUCAGUGCUGAAGUUAACACAUUAAGCACUCCGCCUGGGGAGUACGACCGCAAGGUUGAAACUCAAAGGAUUUGACGGGGGCCCGCACAAGCAGUGGAGCAUGUGCUUAUUCGAAGCACGCGAAGAACCUUACCAGGGCUGACUUCCUCUGAUCACUCUAGAAUAGAGCUUUCCCCUUCGGGGAUAGAGGGCCGGCGUGUCAUGGUUG